GGGGCGGUGGCGGCGCAGGCGCACCGGCAGCAGGGGUGGGGACGGCGCUCUGCGGGCGGCGCGUUCGGAGCUGCUUCUCUCUCAUAGCGCUGCUGCAGGGCAGCACGGCAAAAGCCGUUCCGGUUCCUUUUUAAUUUAGUACGCGUGGAGCGGUAAGGAAAAGAAAAGCCUGCUGAAAAUACGUGCAUCGGUUUGGGCUGCGGAUCGAUUUUGGAAGCGUUUCCCGUGACAGUCAAUUGCGUUUCUUCAUGUAAAGUUUAUUACACGCUUUAAUCACCGCUGUUUCCGGCUCCUUUUUACUGUUUCAGAGCCAACUACAGAAAAUGAAUGAGGGAUUUUGUCGUGAUGUGCACCAUUAACAGGACUGCUUAUUAGACUCUUAAUGAACAACAUCUGCGUGCUCGCUCACUCCAAACAAAUAACAGUUGGGGCGCUGGAACAUUUACAGCUGCUGGGAUAUGCAGUAACGAAGAACUGACUGAGUUUUCAGCCCGAACUUACAGAGAACACAAAGCAGGGCAGUCAGUACUGGCGUUUUCAAAAGGAGGUGCUUUGCAAUAAGUUGCCACCAAAGCCCUUUACUUUGCAGAAAUUGAAAGGUGUGCACAGCAUCAUUUUCUGCUUUAAGACAGAAGACAAAACAGUUCCUUGAUACAGUCCUAACGCCAUUUAUAACAACAUUCCCUGGGUGGAAGGAACGCACUUCAGUGUCCUGCUAUGGCCGUGGCACUGCUUUAAGGCUCACUGCAGUGCAGAAGGCACAGGGUGGAACAAACUGUACUCUGUAAAAGAGUUGUGAUUCCUUUUACAGCUUGAAAUAGAAAGAAGAGACAAUCCUAAUCUACUUAUAAGAACAAGCUGAGCAAGAUGCUGAUCCACACUCCUUUAUUUCUCUGUUUUUCUCUAAGAGCAGUCAAGAAAACAAAUCAGUAUGGAGAAAAACAGCUCAUUUGCAAACAGGCAUUCAUAUCCAUCCACAAAAUUGCAAUUUGUUUGGUAAAUACACUCUGGAAAGAUAAUCUGAUGAAAGAGAAGUUAGAACUUGGAUUUCAGCCUUCAUUUUAGAUGCUGCCAUAAUUUCCAGCUAAAAGGAAAAAAAAAAACUAAUUAAUAUGUGAUGCUGUAACAGCCAGACCCAGAGCCAGGGGUAGAUAUGGGCUUCCUCAAUUGUGCCCUUUUUUACUGUUGCAAAACCUAUCUGCUAUACUGAGAGUUUAUAAGAGUAAGAAGGAACAGGACUGCGGGUGAUAGGAUUUGUCCUGGGGAGAGUAAGAAAUAGGAAACAAGAGGUUUGGACAUACUUCUUUUUUCCACACUGGCUGACAAGCAAUGUAAGGUCUCUUCUGUAGACUUGCUAACUUAUUUUGAUCUUGCUUUGUAAAUGGAAUCAGGACAUCUUUCCGUAUAUUUAAUCUGAAAAGUAAAUAAAGUUAUUACAUUUUCUCAUAUAUUUCAGAAAUACUGAUUCCAAGUUACUGCUUUAUAAGCCAGAAUAAUGGAUGAAAACAGCAAACAAUAUUGGAUUUAAGUGUUGGAUGUUGGUUUUAUUGCUAUUGCUUUAUUUGUUUGAUAAAUUUAGUCAGAUUUUAUUUACUGUCUAUGAAAGAGAAGAAGACUUUCAUUCCUUUUGGGAAAUAACUAACCUCUUGAUGUCGGAUGGAAGGAGACCAAGCCACUUUAUGCAUGGAACGGUGAGCUGGUGAGCCUCAAAAGACAUUGACUAGAAUAAGAAAAACCAAUUGUAACAUUCAGAGACUUUUAGUUAAAUCCUUUGAGAUAUAAGCCUUUCUCAGUUACUGUCAGGUUGUAUUACAGUUGGUUAACUCUUUUCACUGUCAAAACUUUACAGGAGGAAAUAGUGCAACCAGAACUUACCAUACUCCAUUAUUGAGAACAGUUUCUUUUUUAUGGCUUCAGCCAUUAGAGAUUCUAGAUUGGUCCCUUCUGUUCUUUUUAUUUUGUCAUGCUGUUUUUGUUUGUUUGCUGUCACCUUGAGUUCCAUUGCCAAACAAAACUGAAGCCAGGAGAAGCAGUGACAACUACAAUUGGAAGUUCCUGAUAUUUCCUGCUACAAGCACCACAUUAUAUAUAAUCAGCGAAUUUCACUGUGUCCCUGAGGCUUCUGUUAUGACAUAUACAUAACAGAACAGAGCGAGCCUGGACAUCAUCCAUGACUGUUUCCAGAAGAACCUCUACAAACUUACCGUGUGGAUCUGCAUCCAUAAGAGUGAAAAUAGGAAUUUGAAACGUAUCCCACAGCUUUCUGACCAGAAGUCGUGUGUUAAGAUCUGGUAUACCUCUUCCCUAAGGAAACAAAAUAAAGCAGACAGUUUUAAAUUAAUUAAAACAACAUCUGGCUACAUAUAUGUUUAUAUUUGCCAUUUUAAAUGUGCAAACAAAACGCCUGCAGGAGAGUUUCUCCAACAGGCCUGAAGCAUUAAAAGGAAAAGGCUACUUUUUUUUCUUCUCAAAAGUAUUUGUAGCACUGAAGACACAAUGUAAAACAAGGUAUAUAUAGUGUGCUACAGAGUACAAGUGCUUGUCUCUCUUAGGUAUGGGAGUUUCUUCCUCACUGUGAGCCACCUUGUCCCACCUUAUCCAAGUGUAGAUAUUCACACAUCCCUCCAGUUCUUAAUUAACUAAUGAAUUAAUUAAUUCUGCAAGCUCCAUAACUUUCAAUAAAACCCAUAAAUCAAGCAAUUUUAUUUCACUUGGGCUUGCUAAGUUUAGGAUCCUGGGGGACAACAGCAGGGUCUUUCUGUGACUUUGCAGCACCCAGAUGAGUUGGAUAAGCUACCAGGCUCUAGGAGGAUGGUUGGAGGAAAUAAGCCUUUACAAUGUUCAUUUUGUAUUUUCAUUAUCAGUAAAAUAAAACACUAUAAAUAUGGUAAGAUACAC
Molecule: long non-coding RNA, 2898 nt
Organism: Gallus gallus (chicken)
Lineage: Eukaryota; Metazoa; Chordata; Aves; Galliformes; Phasianidae
Exons: 3
Source: RefSeq, a predicted model, not a curated record